Molecule: non-coding RNA, 103 nt
Organism: Acanthosepion pharaonis
Lineage: Eukaryota; Metazoa; Mollusca; Cephalopoda; Sepiida; Sepiidae
Source: the annotation of a GenBank genome assembly
UCAUGUUGAAACAUCGGCUGUCUUACGAUCACUGAAGUUAAGCAACGUUGAGUCUGGUCAAUACCUACAUGGGUGAUCGCUUGGGAAUACCAGGUGCUGUAAG